Molecule: long non-coding RNA, 910 nt
Organism: Anastrepha ludens (Mexican fruit fly)
Lineage: Eukaryota; Metazoa; Arthropoda; Insecta; Diptera; Tephritidae
Exons: 3
Source: RefSeq, a predicted model, not a curated record
UGUAGGGAUUAGCGUCAUGCACCUGACACGCACACAUAUAAGCAGCGUUACAAAGUUAAAUCGAAAACAGUUACAGUGAAAGUAUAUUAAAUUUUGCAUUUCAUUUAAAUUUUUCGUGACUGCGAAGUGAUACUCUGGUGUAAAUAUUAUUUUAUUUAUUGUUUGCUAUUAUGAUUUUUUUGCAGAAGCCUUAACAGUGAUUUAAUCACUUGCGACAGCCGAUGGUUACUAAAUUAGAAUUAGUAAUAUUUAUCAACUACUUACUUAUCUAAAAGUGCAUAAGAGAGCAUCACACUUCGAAAUAGAUAUUUAAUUUACAUAUGCAGAAAUUUGAUAAUUUUUUUAUGUUAGUGGUAUGAAUAUAUUUCAGUAUUUGUUCUAAAUCGUUAUCGCUUAUUUGUUGGCGAAUACAUUGAAGUUCUGAUGUAGUAUAUGGAUUAAGCAACUAUUUUAGUAAACUUAUUGUGCGCUUAUAAUUAUGCAACUGGGUGUACAUAUACGAAGAUGCAAACGUCGAUGUGUUGACAAAUUUAAACUUGUAUGAAUCAUCAGAAACGCGGAAAUACACCUACAUUCAAGGAGAUUCGUUGAAAAUAUUAUUUAAGACUUAAGAGUUGUAAAAUUGGAAAAGGAAGAAUUCCUCUUCAAAGUGAAAAGAAUUGUAUUCCAAAACUGAAACGGUUGUGGAUACAUUCAAAAGUCUCCCAAUAGACUUACAGAACCGACCGAACGCUGGCUGAAAUACAUUUGUGUUAACCGUAUCAAGUGAUAUCAUGAAAGUCUGCUACGAUUUACUCGAUUUUAGAUGAAAACAAUGCAAAUACCAGCGUCACUGACGCCGAUGCUACAAUGCCCGCCGAUUGAGAAGCCCCGCUGCGACCUUCCUGGAAGAAUUGAGUGUACAUCCGCC